Long non-coding RNA from Drosophila navojoa, 602 nucleotides. The record is from RefSeq and is a predicted model, not a curated record. Lineage: Eukaryota; Metazoa; Arthropoda; Insecta; Diptera; Drosophilidae.
UAAGCAUCGCAGUCAACGCAGCGCAGCCAGCGCAGCGCGGCGCAUUCGACCGAUCUCAUUCGGAUGUAGACAACAAUCGAGCGCAGAAGGUAGCCAAUUGCCUCACGGGGCGAAUGUGUGGUUCAUUUACAAAGUGCAGUCCUCAAUCGAGUGUUAUCUCCGUGUCUGUCCAGGUCGAGUCCGAACACGAGUUCAAGUUCGAGUACAUGGUCAAAGUGUGAUAGUAAUACUUGAAAGUAUCGUUCCAUUAAAUAAUGUUCAAUACUAAUAUGCAUUUUUCGAUUUCAGAGGGAUUGCAGAUCUAAAUAGUCGGUUGGAUACAAGAUUCGUGGGCUGGCUUCUAUAAAUAAAGGCAAACAGCAUCUGAAUCAGCGCCAGAGGGCGAUUGGAUGAGUAAACUACCGUAACCGAUUAAUUUAAUUAAAAACCAUUUCUGCACCAUAAACAGAAUCAUUUAUUCAUGUUGGCUUGUCUAAUGACUAACACACAGACCCAAAUAAAACACACGUACACUAGUUGGUGUGCAUUUGUGUGUGUGUGUGUGUUUGAAUAGAUCUCUUGGGUAAAUCGGCUACUCAGAUCUUGUCUACAUGGUACAACAA